This is a long non-coding RNA of Ailuropoda melanoleuca (giant panda), 2705 nucleotides long. RefSeq lists it as uncharacterized. The record is from RefSeq and is a predicted model, not a curated record. NCBI's taxonomy places the organism in Eukaryota, Metazoa, Chordata, Mammalia, Carnivora, Ursidae. The transcript has 7 exons.
UCAAGACCCUGAGAUCAGGAUUCGCAUGCUCUACUGACGGAGCCAGCCAUGCACUCCUAGUACAGAUUGCAGAAACAGCUGAGGUACUUCUCAGAUUCCCCUCUUUCAAGGAGAGAGGCAGAGUCCAUCCCCACGCAUGUCUCUUUGGAGCCACAUGGGGCGGGUGCAUCAGCUGUCCACCGUCCGCCGGUAUUCGGCCGUGCCGUCGGCUAUGAUCGCGUCCAGGGGCGAGCGCUUCUUCCGGAUGCUGCGGCCGGAGGAGAUGAGGUCGGCGUAGCCCCGCUGGUGCGAGAAGGCGUAGGCCGAGCGCCGCGACGACAUGCCCCGGCGGAACACUUGCUGCCGCCCCUUCCACUGCUCCUCAGCUUUUAACCGCUUGCGGUGCUUCUGAAUCUACAGAACGGGAGAGAUGGGGCCAAGCUGACGAUGACACUGAAGGUCAUGCCAUUCAAUUACCUCUGAGGGAUGAAGAGCAUCCUCCUUGCCACACAAGGAAAUGGAGUUGUGGAGAACUGAAAAGAUUUCCCAGGGUAACAGAACUAGCCAUGGCAACUCCUGAAUUAAACCCCAUACCCAUCCGACUGGAGCCACGCCUUUUCUGCUGCAAAUCGGCAGCUAGUUUAUGUCAGAGGAAGUAAUAAUUCAUACAACCAGGUGCCCAGCCUGUCCUGAAGUGUCCCUGUUGCACAAGGCUCCUACCUGGUCAAGCAGCCCCAUGAGGAGCACGGGCAGGCUGGAGUACAGCACGUUGUACAGCGUGAUGAACCAGUCUUCGUACGCAGUCUGUGAGGAGAUUACAGAGUCGCUGUGUCACAAACCAAGACCUACUGCCCGCCUAGUCAACAUGCAUUUAACACUCAAAGCGGGGAAGACCCCUGGACGUGCGUGGCCUCUGCCAGAGCAAGCAGCCCUCAUCUACAGCUGCCCAAGAGUACCCAUUGAAGAAGGAGUACCAGAAAUGAACCAAAGUAAAUGCGAAGUUUUUAUAAAAGAAGUAUCGUAGGAAUUUGCACAUCCUUAUGUAAGACCACCGGCCAUGUACCAGCAGCAGUCUCUGCAAGUAUCUGAACUGGGCAAAGGAGUAGUCACUUGACAUGACCGCUUGCAUGCCUUCUUGUCCACUUAUUCCAACACCGAUGUGGGCAGCUGUGGGGCAGAGGGAGAAGACGUGAAUCAUAAGCUAAUUUUAAGGCAAAACACUGAGGUGAUAAAAACGUUUCCACAGGAAAACAACACAAUCAUGGAAUAAUACAUGUGAAAACUUGCUCACCAGCCCCUCCCCAGCUUUUGAACUCAAUGUCAGAGAUACAAGUUGCUCAAAAGAGCACAUGCUGGGGCCUCUCAAAGGUAUUUGUGAAAGGAUCUCAGGUGGGUCAUAAAUUCCAUUUGGAUUAUCUGCCCAGCUCAUAAGCCAUCAUAAGCCAUCCUUCCCACCCAUGGGGUGAACCCAAGGAGUCCAUGCGGACUCCGCGUCCCUGCCUCCCUGGCCACAGCUGAGUCAGCUAUGGGCAGAUAUGUCCUCAGCAGCAGAUACUACACAGUGGCUCUCCCAACCUUCAUUCCACCCUUGUUCUACUGGAAAGGUGGGAAAGCACAUAAAAACCCACAUGCUCAGAAUGUAGCUGCAAGGGAGUCUGUCUGUGAAUCGGGUUCCAUUGUUAGGAGCCACCUGAAGUGGAAGUAGAAGCGAACUGGACCCCAGCACCCCUGCCCUUUCUGGCAUUUCUGCAGCAGAGUUCAUACCCUCUCUUCAGCUGCCUGGAUGUUGAGCGACAAAAGCUUCUCCACUGAAAAGCCCUUCACAGGAGCCUCGAAGCUAGAAGCUCCUCUGAUGAGAAAGCUGAGGCUGAGCACGAGCCCAGGGUGACACGGCAUGUUGGCAACAGAAUGAAGACAAGUAUUCAGGCCUCGCUAGUUUUCAUUACAAGAUGCUCCCUGACAGUAAUACAGGGAGGAAACAAAAAAACAAAAACAACCCAGGAUUCAGGAAUGUUGAUGAGGGUUUGGUUCUGUACACUUUAAUACCAGCACAAUGUAUUUCUGCAUGAUAGGACUCAGUUCUUCAAUUUGUGAAGACCUAGGGUCCUUCGACCAGUGAAACGACCCUUGACAGUCUUCUAGGAGGGUCAGGAGGAUGGUGAGACCACGUUGGAGCUUUGCUUCAAUGCCACAUGUGUUACCCUGAGCUCAUACUAGGCCACCCAGUUUACCAAGGGCAAGAAGAAAGCCCCAGAAAAAAGAUGCUUAGGUGAAAGAAAAAUACCCUCAAAACAAAUACGAAAGAGAAUUCAACAAUUUACUCCAAGCUCAGCAGAGAUGUUUGCAAAACGUAUUAAAUAGCAGGAGUUUUUAAAUAAGCCUUAAGGAAAUAUGGAGGAAAAGCAGCAAGAAAGGGAAAACAAAACAGAUCCACAUGUAUGUAAAAGAGGGAAACGAAUAAGGCUAAGCUCCCCCAUCUGGAACUCUUAUUUGGCAUUCCCCAAGUGGCACAGUCCUACCUGCUCCCUCCUACUGGGUAGCCUGAGCUUCCUAAGGGCAGGGUCACAGGUGUCGUCAUUGUGGGUAAGGGCCUCUGUCAGACAUCUACCUUAUGAUGAAAGCCUAAGCAAUGAAAUUUGGAAAGACUACCCCCCCCCCAAAACAUCCAUGCCAUUUCUUCUCUCUGGCAAGUCCAGUGGCAUUGGCCAUGGGCAAGACUCACUUUU